AGUAGUCAUAUGCUUGUCUCAAAGAUUAAGCCAUGCAUGUCUAAGUAUAAGCACUUAUACCGUGAAACUGCGAAUGGCUCAUUAAAUCAGUUAUAGUUUAUUUGAUAGUACCUUUACCUGGAUAACUGUGGUAAUUCUAGAGCUAAUACAUGCUAAAAACCUCGACUUCGGAAGGGGUGUAUUUAUUAGAUAAAAAACCAAUGCCCUUCGGGGCUCUUUGGUGAUUCAUAAUAACUURACGAAUCGCAUGGCCUUGCGCCGGCGAUGGUUCAUUCAAAUUUCUGCCCUAUCAACUUUCGAUGGUAAGGUAGUGGCUUACCAUGGUCUCAACGGGUAACGGGGAAUUAGGGUUCUAUUCCGGAGAGGGAGCCUGAGAAACGGCUACCACAUCCAAGGAAGGCAGCAGGCGCGCAAAUUACCCAAUCCCAAUACGGGGAGGUAGUGACAAUAAAUACUGAUACGGGGCUCUUUCGGGUCUCGUAAUUGGAAUGAGUACAAUCUAAAUCCCUUAACGAGGAACAAUUGGAGGGCAAGUCUGGUGCCAGCAGCCGCGGUAAUUCCAGCUCCAAUAGCGUAUAUUAAAGUUGUUGCCGUUAAAAAGCUCGUAGUUGAACCUUGGACCUGGCUGAUCUGUCCUCCUAAUCGAGCGCACGGAUUCGGUCGGGUCUUUCCUUCUGGGGAGCCCCAUGCCCUUCACUGGGUGUGGUGGGGAACCAGGACUUUUACCUUGAAAAAAUUAGAGUGUUCAAAGCAGGCCUUUGCUCGAAUACAUUAGCAUGGAAUAAUAGAAUAGGACAUCGGUUCUAUUUUGUUGGUUUCUAGGACCGCUGUAAUGAUUAAUAGGGAUAGUCGGGGGCGUCAGUAUUCAAUUGUCAGAGGUGAAAUUCUUGGAUUUAUUGAAGACUAACUACUGCGAAAGCAUUCGCCAAGGAUGUUUUCAUUAAUCAGUGAACGAAAGUUAGGGGAUCGAAGACGAUCAGAUACCGUCGUAGUCUUAACCAUAAACUAUGCCGACUAAGGAUCGGACGGUGGUUUUUUUAUGCCCCGUUCGGCACUUUACGAGAAAUCAAAGUUUUUGGGCUCGGGGGGGAGUAUGGUCGCAAGGCUGAAACUUAAAGAAAUUGACGGAAGGGCACCACCAGGCGUAAACCGCAUUAGCUCUGCGCCGAAAAGCAGCCUGACAAAGGUGAAGUGGUUGCAUCCUUAAAUGCUAGUCCGCGUCCGCGGGCGACACCCUCAAAUUGCGGGAAGUUCUUAAAGCCCAAACUA
This 1269-nucleotide ribosomal RNA is filed under the name Lasallia pustulata. RNAcentral describes it as "SSU rRNA". The record is from RNAcentral. Lineage: Eukaryota; Fungi; Ascomycota; Lecanoromycetes; Umbilicariales; Umbilicariaceae.